GUUUCAUCAACAUUGAUGACAUAUUCUUUUUGAAUUUUUAAACUAGAAUCGGUACUUGCAGCGACCGUGAGGAAAGCGCUGAAGUUACUCAAGAGGGUAAACUGAUUAGCUGUUACAGAGAAAAAGGAUUCGGAUUUGUUGAAGCCAAGGUAUGUGGUGGGGUAAAAAUAGAGACGGAGGAAACUAGUGCCAGGAGGAACACGGAAAGGGUAGGUGAAUUUAGAUUUGAAAAUACGAGCAUUCGUAUAAGGGACUCUAGAAACUGAAGAGUCUUGUUCAGAGGCUGUGGCUGGUGAUGAUAUGGUUGAUGAAUUGGAAGGUAACAAAUUGGGAUAGUGGGUAUCAGUAUCCCAUCGACGGCCAUCUUCAUCAGUGGCGACUGAUGGUGCGCCACAGUUGAGCAAGAAAUAUACUGUGGCAUUAUACGAUGAAGGCGUGACAGAAAUAGUGGCCGUUAUGAGUUGUAAGAGGAGAAAUGAAAUCAAAGCAAUGGCAACCAUGGUUGUGGUGGUUAUGAAAGUAAAAUACUACUAUGGAUUUGGUGUGUAGAUAGAUAUUAGUUAGAUGAAGUAAUAAUUAUACUCAACAAUAGCAAAGACUUGAGGGUUGACUCUCAAGUCAUUUUUGCUACUGUAAUUCUUAAUUUUGUAUGGCUGAAAGCCGACGUAGACCGAAAUAGUGUCCUUUGUCAUCAUUCGUUUAUUUUACUUUUUUGUUCAAGUAUUGUACAAAAUGAAAUAGCCUAGUAUUCAGUCUUCCGUACUUCUUGUGUUAUUAUAUAAUACUUAGUCUUUUUUUAAUUCAUUUAAAAAAGAAUGUUAAAUUUUUUUUUUUUUUUUUUGCUAACUAUUUAAAGAUAGAAUUUCAUGUUUACUCUUAUUGAUCCCACUUAUAAUGACCGACUUAAUUAAAAAUAGUAGUAGUAUAUUUUUUUAAUAAAAGAUAAUUUGAUAAAAAUUCAUCAAGUCUUUUCUUAUUUAUUAAACUCUAUAGUCUAUAUCCAGUCAAACUAUGACACAUAAAAUAAAACGCAGAAAGCAUUAUUUUCCUUUAUAAGUACUCACUGUAGCCCAACUUUCAUGACAUCGAUAAACUUUGACAAAGUAUUUAAGAAAUAAAGAAAUACGUUGAAAAUUUAUAGUCUAAAAUAAAUAUUUUAUUAUAAAAAUGGAAGUUUAAAGUUAAUUUAUUUUUGUUUAUAGAAAUAUGGCAUUUUUUGGGGAUAAAUUAAAACAAAAUGAGUCAUAGAAGUUGGAAUAACGAGAGUAAUUAAUUGACAAGAAAAGAUCAAUAUAUUUCAUUUAAGAAAUGAGUUAACUUUAAAUUUUUAGUUUUAAUAAGUAAUUUAUAGUCAGACAAGAAAGCAAAUCAUUAUAUAUUAACAUUACCUACUAGUGACAAUCAAAACCUACCCAUCAAGGUGACUUUACUGUUUAAGUGCGCAAAGUUUAGUUACUUCAAUAUGAUUAAAUAAUAUACAAGUUUACUGUUAUACCGUAUAAAGUUCAGUGACUAUGAGUGAGAUUAAAUGUAUACCUGUAUGGAGAUAACACAAUCCUUUUGCUGCGCCAAUGCAAAUCUCAAGGCGUUUCCUCCAUGGAAGAGGAGCAUUAUCAGCUUUGUACAAGUGAUCACGGAGAGUUCCAUGAGCCAUGUAAUCAUAAACCAAAAUCAUCUCAUUGUUAUCAUCACAAUAACCAAUUAAGGAUACCAAAUGCAGAUGUCUUAGCUUUGAUAACAUGUGAAUCUCUGUCUCAAACUCGCGAACUCCUUGCUUUGAUGAAGGAUUCAAUCUCUUGAUUGCAACUGUGGUUGUGCCGUUGUCUAUGUACCCUUUGUACACAUUACCGAAACCUCCAUACCCAAUCACAAAAUUGUCAUCAAAAUUUCCUGUUGCAGCUUUUAUCUCCUCCAGUAAAAAGUGUCGAGGGUAAUGAUGAUGAGCCUGACCCGCUGGUCCUUUGGGUUGAGUUCGAUGUAAUUGAUAAAGGGAUCCACGAUGAUUUUGUAACGCUUGUAUGCAGAUCCUUUCCCUUUUUCCUCCGCUGGAAAAUCAAGAAACAUAGAAUUGACAACAGAGCAAUUCCACUAAUCACACCUGCUGUGAUAACAACAAAGACAUGCCAUUUCUUUUUCUUUUUUUCCUUUGGGGUUGAAUUCUCUGGAACUUCUAACCGCGAUUCAGGAUUUGGGACGGAAAAAUUUCCUUUUCGAUCGCUCAACUUGAAAAUUUCUAAGCCAUUUAAGAUAGCAUUUUCAUACACAGCUUUUGUUUCCAUGUUAGGUCGCAAUUCAAGCGACACAUCUUUCUUGCCUCGUCGGCCAUCUGGAUCUCUCACAAACACCACGUAGUCUGUGUACAUCGGGACUCUCCAGCCGCGACUCCGUUGAAUCACAUCGACUAGUUGAUCUGCCGUUUGGUUUCCAAUGAGUAUAUCGAAAACCCGAUAGUUCUGUUCCUUAACUUCCAGCUGAAUCUCACAAAAAUGGAGCCUGAAAAGAUAGUAGAACCCAGCGUCAAGAGGAAAAAUCCAAUCCAGGCUCUGGCUGUAAUUGGCGAUGGUCCUAGAGGUUGUGUAAACUAUGUUUGGCGCCGUAUAAGCCGGGGUUUCAGAAGUGUAAUUAAUGUUGACAUCUAUAUGAGGAGUUUGAUAGUCAUAUCCAACAACAAAGUCUUCAUCUGAAUCCCAUACCCGAUACAUGCCUGUAUCCCCUGUGCUCGAAACCAAAUUGCCUCCCACGUUCAGCCUGUACACAUUUUCAAGAGCAGUGCUGUUAUUGAUGUAAUAAAGAUUAUACUGCCCCACCAAUAUGAUGCCACCACUAUCUUCACGGAGAUAAAGAUCAGUUGGCAUGGAAACAAUCUCGAUCCCAUUAACAAAAGCGUAAGAGUUCGGCGAAGGAGAAAAGGUUAUAUUGAGUAUCUGAGUUUCAUCAACAUUGAUGACAUAUUCUUUUUGAAUUUUUAAACUAGAAUCGGUACUUGCAGCGACCGUGAGGAAAGCGCUGAAGUUACUCAAGAGGGUAAACUGAUUAGCUGUUACAGAGAAAAAGGAUUCGGAUUUGUUGAAGCCAAGGUAUGUGGUGGGGUAAAAAUAGAGACGGAGGAAACUAGUGCCAGGAGGAACACGGAAAGGGUAGGUGAAUUUAGAUUUGAAAAUACGAGCAUUCGUAUAAGGGACUCUAGAAACUGAAGAGUCUUGUUCAGAGGCUGUGGCUGGUGAUGAUAUGGUUGAUGAAUUGGAAGGUAACAAAUUGGGAUAGUGGGUAUCAGUAUCCCAUCGACGGCCAUCUUCAUCAGUGGCGACUGAUGGUGCGCCACAGUUGAGCAAGAAAUAUACUGUGGCAUUAUACGAUGAAGGCGUGACAGAAAUAGUGGCCGUUAUGAGUUGUAAGA
Molecule: long non-coding RNA, 3397 nt
Filed under: Capsicum annuum
Lineage: Eukaryota; Viridiplantae; Streptophyta; Magnoliopsida; Solanales; Solanaceae
Description: long non-coding RNA (CANN_LNC003782)
Source: RNAcentral